RNAcentral lists this ribosomal RNA (253 nucleotides) under uncultured bacterium. RNAcentral's name for it is "partial 16S ribosomal RNA". It matches the Rfam family "Bacterial small subunit ribosomal RNA", at positions 524 to 776 of the family's 1533-position model. The record is from RNAcentral.
UACGAGAGGCCCAAACGUUAUUCGGAUUUACUGGGCUUAAAGAGUUCGUAGGCGGCACGGAAAGUGGGGUGUGAAAUCCCUCGGCUUAACCGAGGAACUGCGCUCCAAACUUCCGUGCUAGAGGGGGAUAGAGGUAAGCGGAACUGAUGGUGGAGCGGUGAAAUGCGUUGAUAUCAUCAGGAACACCGGAGGCGAAGGCGGCUUACUGGGUCCUUUCUGACGCUGAGGAACGAAAGCUAGGGGAGCAAACGGG